This 475-nucleotide long non-coding RNA is filed under the name Physcomitrium patens. RNAcentral describes it as "long non-coding RNA (PPAT_LNC014589)". The record is from RNAcentral. Lineage: Eukaryota; Viridiplantae; Streptophyta; Bryopsida; Funariales; Funariaceae.
AAGAAAUCCAAUAGAAAUAUUAAAAUAAUCAAAAAUAUAUAUUACAUAAAUUUUAAUCAAGUUUCAAUUUAAUCCUAAUUGAAAUCCUAAUAGACUUCAAUCAAACCUUAGAUCAAAUCUUAAAUCUUAAGUAAACAUCAAAUCCUAAAUCAAAUCCUAAGAUAAAUUAGAAUCUUAAUAUCUACUAAUUAAACCAUUGAUCUAGCUUGAAAAUUUACAUAUCUCUCAAUCUCUUAGUUAAAAAAUAGUAUACAAAAUUUAAACACAAUAGCACUUACCAAAUAGAAGAAAAAUCCUAAAACUCGCUUGGGUAUUGGCUAGCCUCUUAUUUCAAUCUGAAUGUUGAACUUCUAGUGCCAAUAUCUCCUUUUUAAACCAUUCAAUUGUUUUCAAAUUUUACAAAUGUGUAGAAAAUUAAGUCUAUCAUCUUUAUAUAUAAAUUUUACUCUAAUCCAACUAGUAGAUUACUGAAGAU